This 187-nucleotide ribosomal RNA is filed under the name uncultured bacterium. RNAcentral describes it as "partial 16S ribosomal RNA". It matches the Rfam family "Bacterial small subunit ribosomal RNA", at positions 1306 to 1500 of the family's 1533-position model. The record is from RNAcentral.
UGCAACCCGACUCCAUGAAGCUGGAUUCGCUAGUAAUCGCGCAUCAGCCACGGCGCGGUGAAUACGUUCCCGGGCCUUGUACACACCGCCCGUCAAGCCAUGGGAGCCGGGGGUGCCUGAAGGCCGUGACCGCGAGGAGCGGCCUAGGGUAAAACUGGUGACUGGGGCUAAGUCGUAACAAGGUAGC